Molecule: ribosomal RNA, 429 nt
Filed under: Fusobacteriota bacterium
Lineage: Bacteria; Fusobacteriati; Fusobacteriota
Description: Fusobacteria bacterium partial 16S ribosomal RNA
Rfam family: Bacterial small subunit ribosomal RNA
Source: RNAcentral
UGGGGAAUAUUGAGCAAUGGGCGAAAGCCUGACGCAGCGACGCCGCGUGAGGGAUGAAGGUUUUCGGAUCGUAAACCUCUGUCAGAAGGGAAGAAACCGCACUGUGCUAAUCAGCAGUGCCUUGACGGUACCUUCAAAGGAAGCACCGGCUAACUCCGUGCCAGCAGCCGCGGUAAUACGGAGGGUGCAAGCGUUAAUCGGAAUUACUGGGCGUAAAGCGCACGUAGGCUGCUUUGUAAGUCAGGGGUGAAAUCCCACGGCUCAACCGUGGAACUGCCUUUGAUACUGCUUAGCUUGAAUCCGGGAGAGGGUGGCGGAAUUCCAGGUGUAGGAGUGAACUCCGUAGAUAUCUGGAUGAACAUCAGUGGCGAAGGCGGCCACCUGGACCGGUAUUGACGCUGAGGUGCGAAAGCGUGGGGAGCAAACAGG